UGUUUCGGCUAGGGGGCCAUCCCGGCUUACCAACCCGAUGCAAACUGCGAAUACCGGAGAAUGUUAUCACGGGAGACACACGGCGGGUGCUAACGUCCGUCGUGAAGAGGGAAACAACCCAGACCGCCAGCUAAGGUCCCAAAGUCAUGGUUAAGUGGGAAACGAUGUGGGAAGGCCCAGACAGCCAGGAUGUUGGCUUAGAAGCAGCCAUCAUUUAAAGAAAGCGUAAUAGCUCACUGGUCGAGUCGGCCUGCGCGGAAGAUGUAACGGGGCUAAACCAUGCACCGAAGCUGCGGCAGCGACACUGUGUGUUGUUGGGUAGGGGAGCGUUCUGUAAGCCUGUGAAGGUGUGUCGUGAGGCAUGCUGGAGGUAUCAGAAGUGCGAAUGCUGACAUAAGUAACGAUAAAGCGGGUGAAAAGCCCGCUCG
Molecule: ribosomal RNA, 428 nt
Filed under: Salmonella enterica subsp. enterica
Lineage: Bacteria; Pseudomonadati; Pseudomonadota; Gammaproteobacteria; Enterobacterales; Enterobacteriaceae
Description: partial 23S ribosomal RNA
Rfam family: Bacterial large subunit ribosomal RNA
Source: RNAcentral